Molecule: ribosomal RNA, 630 nt
Filed under: Ruinenia dracophylli
Lineage: Eukaryota; Fungi; Basidiomycota; Agaricostilbomycetes; Agaricostilbales; Ruineniaceae
Description: eukaryotic LSU rRNA
Rfam family: Eukaryotic large subunit ribosomal RNA
Source: RNAcentral
UAAGCGGAGGAAAAGAAACUAACAAGGAUUCCCCUAGUAACGGCGAGUGAAGCGGGAAAAGCUCAACUUUGUAAUCUGGCUGUUUCACAGUCCGAGUUGUAGUCUCGAGAAAUGAUAUCCGCGCCGGACCUUAGACAUGUCUGUUGGAAUACAGUGUCAAAGAGGGUGAGAAUCCCGUACAUACUAAGGACGACCGUGUGCAUUGUGAUACGUUUUCAAAGAGUCGAGUUGUUUGGGAAUGCAGCUCAAAUCGGGUGGUAAACUCCAUCUAAAGCUAAAUAUUGGCGAGAGACCGAUAGCGAACAAGUACCGUGAGGGAAAGAUGAAAAGCACUUUGGAAAGAGAAUGAAAUAGUAUGUGAAAUUGCUGGAAGGGAAACGUUUGAGGUUAGACUUGCUUUUGUGGUAUUCAGCCGAAAGGUGUACUUGCCACAUAAUGCAGGCCAGCAUCAGUUUGAGCCGUUGUAAAAGGGUAGAGAGAACGUAGCUUGCUCGCUUAGUGUUAUAGCUCACUACUGGAUGCAAAGGUUUGGACUGAGGAACGCAGCGCGCCGCAAGGUAAAGCUUAUCAAGCUUAAAGCGCUUAGGAUGCUGGGUAGAAUAGCCUUUAACCGACCCGUCUUGAAACACG